UUUAAAGGAAUUUUUUUAAUUUCUUCUUUCUAAAGGCAAGGCUAAGCCAUCCGCCCUUCAUUGCAGGGUAAAAGGGGAGACGGUUCCCAAGGGGUGGCUAGUUCGAGUAAGAGAGACAGAUACAGAUAAGGUCCUUUUUUCUGAGAGACCCGCUCUUGACUUUAAUCAUACCCACUAGUAAGCGCAGUGGAUGCUCCUUCAUACAGGGCACAGAGAGGCAAGUGAUGGGCACUACUCAUCAUAAGAAAGCAGUCAUGCAGAUAGAAAGAGUAAAACAAUGACUCUGACUAAG
This 292-nucleotide long non-coding RNA is filed under the name Nicotiana benthamiana. RNAcentral's name for it is "long non-coding RNA (NBEN_LNC009592)". Lineage: Eukaryota; Viridiplantae; Streptophyta; Magnoliopsida; Solanales; Solanaceae. The record is from RNAcentral.